GCCCUUGUGGCGCAGUGGUAGCGCCCCCACAUAUGUUGCGACAGCCAAACCCGAUACAUGUGGGUGACACCGGUUCGAUUCCGGCCGAGGGCU
Non-coding RNA from Mycena filopes, 93 nucleotides. Lineage: Eukaryota; Fungi; Basidiomycota; Agaricomycetes; Agaricales; Mycenaceae. The record is from the annotation of a GenBank genome assembly.